RNAcentral lists this long non-coding RNA (400 nucleotides) under Hordeum vulgare. Its description in RNAcentral is "long non-coding RNA (HVUL_LNC008728)". Lineage: Eukaryota; Viridiplantae; Streptophyta; Magnoliopsida; Poales; Poaceae. The record is from RNAcentral.
UCAAAAGAGCCAAUUAUGGCAUUUAUGUCCCUUACAGGGAAUUACCCGCAUGACGGAAAAAGUCUGGGAAGAAUGCCUGCGUAACCGGGUAAAGUUGACAUUGUAUUAUGUCAACAAUCCGUGUAUGGCGGGAGAAAUUUUGGCAAAGGCCUUAUCCUGUCUGACAGGAGAAAGUUAUGAUGACUCAUGUGCGGUUAAUGUCCCACUAUGGGAGAAAAAUAUGGAGUAGCUAUUAAGCUUUCCUAGUAUCGACCGUACACCUUAUAUGUAACGGUCAUUAUGCAAUCACUAAAUCCAUAAAGGAUAAAAGUAACAGACGAACCUAAAGACAAGCAUAAUACGCAAGUGUGACUUGCAAAAGUGACAACUAUAAAGAACUCUGUUGAGUUUCUGAAAUGAA